UGUAUAUAUAUGGAUAAAUGAUUUUAUUAUUUUUAUAUCAUUUUGAUCCAUGUUCAUUCACUGAUAUCUAUGUGUUAAAAUUGUUAAAUAUGAAACGGUGUCGUCACGCCAUCUAGCCGAGGAUAGGCUAAAGGUGUGUGCGCCAUCUAUUCGAGAAUGACUUUUACUUGAAUUCCGAGUUCCGAGGCACGUUUUUUCCUUAGACUUUAUUCGUCUUAUACGAAGUUACAUAUUUCAUCAAUAACUACUAAUGGCGUUAUUCAUAAACGCGUUACUGGUCAGAAUUAACUAUAAUCGUUUGUCUGUAUCUGUCAUUUUGACUUAUGUAUUUGUAAGAAAGGGAUAAAAUAUAAUUUAACUAAAUCAGGCCCAUAAAGUUUUAUGAAUAAGGGGGUAAGUUGAUACAAAGAACGAUGUUUUUUUAACCCUUUGAACAUGUGCGACGCGUCAUCGUCAUCAUGAAUCUUGUCGUGCACGAAUGUUGAUAUUGGGCUGUUGCCGGUUGACAUCUUUGGUGGUGGUGGAUGGUAACGCCGGGUUUUAACCGGUUAACCCGGGUUAAUGAAUGGUGCAAGUGGCCCUUAGUGACUUUUGGUUGUCAAAAUAUACUGAAAGUAAAAUUUUAAUUAAUUACUUAAUUUCUCUUGCAUUGAUGUUACUUAUUGUGGCGAUACGGUCUAGCGACUAUUAGUGUCGGGCCCCAGUUAAUGAAUGUGUCAGUGUAAUUCUAUUUAUGUACCUACCUACUAAAUGUGUAGUAAAUUAUUAAAGCAUUGUCUAUUUUGGGCCCGAGGCAUGUAAGAAAAUAAAGUUUUCUGACAAA
Cydia splendana is the source of this 823-nucleotide long non-coding RNA. RefSeq lists it as uncharacterized. NCBI's taxonomy places the organism in Eukaryota, Metazoa, Arthropoda, Insecta, Lepidoptera, Tortricidae. The transcript is spliced from 2 exons. The record is from RefSeq and is a predicted model, not a curated record.